Molecule: long non-coding RNA, 312 nt
Filed under: Bos indicus x Bos taurus (hybrid cattle)
Lineage: Eukaryota; Metazoa; Chordata; Mammalia; Artiodactyla; Bovidae
Description: lncRNA (ENSBIXG00000026950.1)
Source: RNAcentral
AUGUCUCAAAGGUACCUUGCAAUUCACAGAGCCGCCUUCACACCAGCUGCACACAGCCUCCUGUUGGCUUGUUCCUGGGGCUUAAACCUAACUGAGCAGUGUUGUUCUAAGUUGCAGAGAUCAAAGACCUGGACAGCAACCUUUACCCCAUUGGCCAGAGCAACAUCAGCAAGUCAGGCAGAGGGUGUGUGCGGUUUAUUGAAGAGAUGCACAGCUGGUGACUGCAUCUGCAGAGCUGAGAACAACUGGAUCUUGUUCACACUCAGGCAGAGGAAGACUCCUGGGGUGAAGCCACACCUCCUUCUAGCCUGA